CCCCUUGAUCCGAAGCGCCGGACAGCUUACAUCUGUUGCGUUCCCGUUCGGGGACUAUGGCGAUAAACGCGCACGUAAUAAGCGGAUCGGACCCGGGGGCGGUACCCGGCGGCUCCACCAAUUCUCCCUCGUUGGGGGCAUCAGGGGCCGAAACAGGAUCGACGAACGUCUAAAGGUGUCAGCUUUCGCCCGGUGAGGUACCACCGUUAUCGGUCCGCAAAGUACAGUUGCCAACGACAACCGUGCUCCGGUGGCCGUUGCUGCGUAAGCAGUAACAACACCGAAACUUAAGCCCUGGCGUCUAGCAACGUCAGGCGGGGUUCGCAGGCACCUGGCAACAGAAGCCUGCACU
RNAcentral lists this transfer-messenger RNA (352 nucleotides) under Maritimibacter sp. 55A14. RNAcentral's name for it is "Alphaproteobacteria transfer-messenger RNA". It matches the Rfam family "Alphaproteobacteria transfer-messenger RNA". Rfam says of the family: Bacterial tmRNA, also known as 10Sa RNA or SsrA, is named for its dual tRNA and mRNA-like properties. Its role is to liberate the mRNA from a stalled ribosome. To accomplish this part of the tmRNA is used as a reading frame that ends in a translation stop signal. Lineage: Bacteria; Pseudomonadati; Pseudomonadota; Alphaproteobacteria; Rhodobacterales; Roseobacteraceae. The record is from Rfam by way of RNAcentral.